UGGGGAAUCUUGCGCAAUGGGCGAAAGCCUGACGCAGCCAUGCCGCGUGAAUGAUGAAGGUCUUAGGAUUGUAAAAUUCUUUUCACCGGGGACGAUAAUGACGGUACCCGGAGAAGAAGCCCCGGCUAACUUCGUGCCAGCAGCCGCGGUAAUACGAAGGGGGCUAGCGUUGCUCGGAAUUACUGGGCGUAAAGGGCGCGUAGGCGGACAUUUAAGUCAGGGGUGAAAUCCCAGAGCUCAACUCUGGAACUGCCUUUGAUACUGGGUGUCUUGAGUGUGAGAGAGGUAUGUGGAACUCCGAGUGUAGAGGUGAAAUUCGUAGAUAUUCGGAAGAACACCAGUGGCGAAGGCGACAUACUGGCUCAUUACUGACGCUGAGGCGCGAAAGCGUGGGGAGCAAACAGGAUUAGAUACCCAGGUAGUCCCUGAGCGGGCUGGCAAGGCGCAU
Molecule: ribosomal RNA, 448 nt
Filed under: uncultured bacterium
Lineage: Bacteria
Description: bacterial SSU rRNA
Rfam family: Bacterial small subunit ribosomal RNA
Source: RNAcentral